Molecule: microRNA precursor, 209 nt
Filed under: Oryza brachyantha (malo sina)
Lineage: Eukaryota; Viridiplantae; Streptophyta; Magnoliopsida; Poales; Poaceae
Description: MIR812 microRNA precursor family
Rfam family: MIR812 microRNA precursor family
Source: Rfam by way of RNAcentral
AAUAAACGAGUUUCUGUGUUUUUGGAUAGAAUUUUUGACUCUUUGUUUUAUUUAAAUUUUUUUUAUGAUUAAUAUUUUUAUUGUUACUACAUGAUAAAGCAUAAAUAGUAUUUACGUGUGACUAAUUUUUUUUUAACUUUUUAUUCAAUCUUUUUAAAUAAGACGGAUGGUUAAACGCUUGAACUACCGAACCCAGGAAUGCUCUUUUU